CGAGGCGUAGCGCAGUCCGGUAGCGCACAUGUCUGGGGGACAUGGGGUCGCAAGUUCAAAUCUUGUCGCCUCGACCA
This 77-nucleotide transfer RNA is filed under the name Deltaproteobacteria bacterium. Its description in RNAcentral is "tRNA-Pro". It matches the Rfam family "tRNA". From Rfam's summary of the family: Transfer RNA (tRNA) molecules are approximately 80 nucleotides in length. Their secondary structure includes four short double-helical elements and three loops (D, anti-codon, and T loops). The record is from RNAcentral. Lineage: Bacteria; Pseudomonadati; Myxococcota; Myxococcia.